UACGUAGGGCGCAAGCGUUGUCCGGAAUUAUUGGGCGUAAAGAGCUCGUAGGUGGUUUGUCGCGUUGUCCGUGAAAACUCACAGCUCAACUGUGGGCGUGCGGGCGAUACGGGCAGACUGGAGUACUGCAGGGGAGACUGGAAUUCCUGGUGUAGCGGUGGAAUGCGCAGAUAUCAGGAGGAACACCGGUGGUGAAGGCGGGUCUCUGGGCAGUAACUGACGCUGAGGAGCGAAAGCGUGGGGAGCGAACAGG
RNAcentral lists this ribosomal RNA (253 nucleotides) under uncultured bacterium. RNAcentral describes it as "partial 16S ribosomal RNA". It matches the Rfam family "Bacterial small subunit ribosomal RNA", at positions 524 to 776 of the family's 1533-position model. The record is from RNAcentral.